CCUACGGGAGGCAGCCGUGGGGAAUAUUGCACAAUGGGGGAAACCCUGAUGCAGCGACGCCGCGUGAGUGAAGAAGUACUUCGUUAUGUAAAGCUCUAUCAGCAGGGAAGAAAAUGAUGGUACCUGAGUAAGAAGCCCAGGCUAACUACGUGCCAGCAGCCGCGGUACUACGUAGGGGGCAAGCGUUAUCCGGAUUUACUGGGUGGAAAGGGUGCGUAGACGGCAGUGCAAGUCUGGAGUGAAAGGCGGGGGCUCAACCCCCGGACUGCUCUGGAAACUGGACGGCUGGAGUGCAGGAGAGGUGAGUGGAAUUCCUAGUGUAGCGGUGAAAUGCGUAGAGAGUAGGAGGAACACCAGUGGCGAAGGCGGCGUACUGGACUGUAACUGACGUUGAGGCUCGAAAGCGUGGGGAGCAAACAGGAUUAGAUACCCUUGUAGUC
Molecule: ribosomal RNA, 440 nt
Filed under: uncultured bacterium
Lineage: Bacteria
Description: partial 16S ribosomal RNA
Rfam family: Bacterial small subunit ribosomal RNA
Source: RNAcentral